This 525-nucleotide ribosomal RNA is filed under the name Papiliotrema flavescens. RNAcentral describes it as "eukaryotic LSU rRNA". It matches the Rfam family "Eukaryotic large subunit ribosomal RNA", at positions 82 to 615 of the family's 3401-position model. Lineage: Eukaryota; Fungi; Basidiomycota; Tremellomycetes; Tremellales; Rhynchogastremaceae. The record is from RNAcentral.
AGUAACGGCGAGUGAACCGGGAAGAGCUCAAAUUUGAAAUCUGGCGUGCUCAGUGCGUCCGAGUUGUAAUCUAUAGAGGCGUUUUCCGUGCCGGACUGUGUCUAAGUCCCUUGGAACAGGGUAUCAAAGAGGGUGAUAAUCCCGUACUUGACACAAUGACCGGUGCUCUGUGAUACGUCUUCUACGAGUCGAGUUGUUUGGGAAUGCAGCUCAAAAUGGGUGGUGAGUUCCAUCUAAAGCUAAAUAUUGGCGAGAGACCGAUAGCGAACAAGUACCGUGAGGGAAAGAUGAAAAGCACUUUGGAAAGAGAGUUAAACAGUACGUGAAAUUGUUGAAAGGGAAACGAUUGAAGUCAGUCGUGACUGAGAGGCUCAGCCGGUUCUGCCGGUGUAUUCCCCUCAGUCGGGUCAACAUCAGUUUUGUUCGGUGGAUAAGGGCAGCUGGAAGGUGGCACCUCCGGGUGUGUUAUAGCCAGCUGUCGCAUACAUCGAAUGAGACUGAGGAAUGCAGCUCGCCUUUAUGGCC